UAAUUAAUUGAUUUGGUUAUAUAAAAUAUUACAAAAUACUUUUAUUUAAUAUAAAUAAAUUGUUUAUUUCUCAAAAUUGUUAUGUUCAUCAAAAAUUAAAAUUAAGAUCUUUGCACUUCAUAUGAGAUGAAAUUAUACAUUUUUGGAAUGAGAAAAGUAAACAAAACAUGUUUUUAUUAUAAAGAAAAAGAGUUGAAUGACAGAUGACAUUGAUUACAGUUUCAAUUCACGUUAUGUCCAUGUUUUGAAUAAAUUCAAAAUCUAUGUCCAGUAUCAUUUUACUGCUAAUGAAAGCUUAGUUAUAUCAAGUUAUUUCAAGAAUAUUAAUAUUAAUAUGACUAAACGUUUUCAAAGUCCGAAAUAUGGUAUUUUUAUAUAAUCUCUUACAUAAUUGCCCAGUCCGUUAAAUAUGUCAAAUCAUCGAAAUAUUCGAUGAGAUAUCGAAGGAAAGGUUUAUUUCUUCUUCAAAACUUUUAUUUGAAAUAUUUUUUUAUAAAACCAAUUAUGAUAUGAAAUCAAAUAUGUUUAUAAAACCAAUAUGAUUGAAGAUAUUUGGCCAUAUAGUUUAAAAUGAGACAUCCUAUAUAUUAUGUUGGCACUACUAGCAGUUAUAAAAUCUGGAACUCUAAUCAUGAAAUAAUUGUGUAUGUGUACUAAAAUAUAUGUAUUAGGUUGGAAACUAUGAAACGGGCGUUGAAUGAAAAUAAAAACUAAACAAAGUUUCAUAGUUUCUAAUCUAAUACUUAUAAUAUAUUACAUAAUGUAUUAGGUUGGAAACUAUGAAACGGGCGUUGAAAAUAAACUAAACAAAAGCGCCCGUUUCAUAGUUUCCAACAUAAUGUAAAAGUAACUUGCAAAUGAAAAAUUCUUUAAUAUAUUAGUCUUGAUAAUAAGAAGUCCAAUGUGCGUUUUUGUCGUGUAUGAUAUAAGAAAUGGUUGUUUCUAUGCAUUUCAAGAAAAAAAUUUUACAUUGCAAUAAUAACAGUUGAAAAAAUCUAAAAUAAGCAAAAAUAAAUAUAUAAUGUCGCAAGAAAAUAUUUUAAACGCACCAAUUAUUUUUUAUUUUUAAAGUUUUUCUAUAUAUAUAUAUAUAUACAGAAAAUGUUUGUUAUCAGUAUUUUUACAAAGUACGUAUAUUAUUCGUCAUUACCAAAUGUAAAUUAAUGCAACAGAACAUUGAUACGUUCUUAAUUGUGAAUACAAUAUAUUUAUAUUCAAGGCCAACGCAUUAAAAUAUAUUCAAGGCCAACGCAUUAAAAUAUAUUUGUAUUGCAAACAUGUAUAGAAUAGAGCUUAAUAUUAUGUAAUAUUUUAAUCUAUUCGUAUAUCUUGAUCCUAAAGUCAUUUCUAUUCUGUAUUUCAUAUAAUCUUUACUCUUUUUAAAUAUAAAUGCAGAGCUUAUACUUUCGAUAUAACAAAAUAUGUAACAUCAUUAUUUCUGAAAUUAUUUGAGACAUCUAUGAAUACAUUGAAAUCUUAAAGCUGUUCAUCAACCUUGGUUUUUUUUACACCAUCAAUGAGAACAAGCGUAAUUCUCGACCGAUUUUGACGAACGAGGUCUCAUUUUAAAGAUGAAGGUUUAAUCUACGGCGCUUUUUUGGAAGAUUUUUGAAAAAGCUUUAUUUUUUUUUUAAAUAAUCGUAUUAAAAAAUAGUAUUUUUCAAGAAUGGCUUAUGCACAAAUAAAAAGCUUUUUAAAAAGGCCACUGUUCAUUAAAAGUUCAUCAAAAUUAAUCGAAACUUAUUUCUGUUCUCCUUGAGAACACAAAUACUGUUUUCGACAGUUUUCGCGAAGAAAACGUUUACUACUGUGGCGCCCUUCGAAAUUUGCGGUAAAAGAGAUGAAGCUCGUACCCCCACUACUGAUUUUCAUAUCACACUUGAAUGAUGUAUGUUUAUGCCCGCGAAGUAACGAUUGUCUGCUUGGUUGUUUGUGUAAAUAGCUGAUACUCAUAUUUUUUAAAUAUUACAAACGCAAAGAAAUGGUUUUCAUGAAGCUCGCACGGAAAAGCUAUGGUGUUAUUAUCCAAAAAAUUAUCCAAUCUCAUAUUUAUUUUUUCUACUGAUGGCUGAUGUGAAUUUCAUGGUGAUCUGUGCAGAUAGGAUACAACAGUAAUAUAAUUUUAUUCGCUGACAAAUGCAUAUAACGUAUAUAUACAUUUGUCGAUUAUUUGUUCAAAAUUAAUAAUUAGUGAACAUAUAUAUUAUAUAUUAUUUUUAAUAAAGAUCGAAACACGAA
Molecule: long non-coding RNA, 2238 nt
Organism: Vespa velutina
Lineage: Eukaryota; Metazoa; Arthropoda; Insecta; Hymenoptera; Vespidae
Exons: 2
Source: RefSeq, a predicted model, not a curated record